Long non-coding RNA from Lathyrus oleraceus (garden pea), 938 nucleotides. RefSeq lists it as uncharacterized. NCBI's taxonomy places the organism in Eukaryota, Viridiplantae, Streptophyta, Magnoliopsida, Fabales, Fabaceae. The record is from RefSeq and is a predicted model, not a curated record. The transcript is spliced from 2 exons.
UGGUGAAGCAUGCAAAUUGUAACAUACAUGUGUGGUCCUGCAUGGCCACCACAUGUCUUCUAUCUGAGAACCCAGGGACACACGGAAGAAGCAAAAUGCAGGAUGAGGACUCAUUUUGCCAUCUACACUCUUUCUCUUCUCUUUCACGUCUUAUCUCUUCUCUUCAGUUCUCUCAACACACUUUCCAAAAGUCUUACCUCUCUCUCCUCUCAUCCCAUCUUCGCCGACCAACCUCCGGCGUUGCACCACCACCAAACACAAAAAACCUAACAUGACCUCCCCGUUAAAUCUCUUCCUCCAUCCAAAACCAAAUUUCUUCACCUAGCUUCAACUCAAAAGUUGUGAAACAAAAACCCAACAUAAACUCACCACAAGAAUCGAUUCAAACACAACGAAGAAUAUUGGCAAUGGAACAAGGAAUCACAACACAAUCACAACGCAAAGAUAUUAUUAGAACACAUAUUAAAAUUCGCAGAUGCAAAACCCUAGGUUUACACAAGCAUUUAAUUCACAACAAUUGCAUUAAAAAAUCAAGAAGAAAGGAAAUUAAAACAUGAAGAAAGUACCAAAUGGAAAAGUCGAGUUCUCUGGUGACGCUCUGACGACAGGUUUUCAAUCAAGAAUCAGGGCAAUGAUGAGAGAAUCUUAGGCAUGUAGAGAAAAUGUAGAAUAAGAGAGAGACUGAAUGUCCCUAUGGAUACUUGCAAAGUUAAACUUAUGUGCCAAAGGUGGCUUGAAUUAAAUGAAGAUCUUCUUGUAGUUUAAGAAACUUGUAUCCAUUUGGAUCUUUUGGAUCCAUUUGGAUCUUUUGUAAAUUAGGAACCAAGUGUCACUUUAAAGUUGAUGGUUGAAUCGUGUAAAUUAGGAACCUUAUGUCACAUUGGAAACUUGAGUUAUAGAGAAAAAGAGCACAAAUAACACGUAGAAACUUGGAAUAA